Molecule: ribosomal RNA, 243 nt
Filed under: uncultured Actinomycetales bacterium
Lineage: Bacteria; Bacillati; Actinomycetota; Actinomycetes; Actinomycetales
Description: partial 16S ribosomal RNA
Rfam family: Bacterial small subunit ribosomal RNA
Source: RNAcentral
UACUCGAGUGGCGAACGGGUGAGUAACACGUGGGUGAUCUGCCCUGCACUUCGGGAUAAGCUUGGGUAACUGGGUCUAAUACCGGAUAGGAACCAUCUUUAGUGUGGUGGUUGGAAAGUUUUUUCGGUGUAGGAUGAGCUCGCGGCCUAUCAGCUUGUUGGUGGGGUAAUGGCCUACCAAGGCGGCGACGGGUAGCCGGCCUGAGAGGGUGUACGGCCACAUUGGGACUGAGAUACGGCCCAG